RNAcentral lists this ribosomal RNA (488 nucleotides) under uncultured bacterium. RNAcentral describes it as "partial 16S ribosomal RNA". It matches the Rfam family "Bacterial small subunit ribosomal RNA", at positions 30 to 507 of the family's 1533-position model. The record is from RNAcentral.
AUUGAACGCUGGCGGCAGGCCUAACACAUGCAAGUCGAACGGUAGCACAGAGAGCUUGCUCUCGGGUGACGAGUGGCGGACGGGUGAGUAAUGUCUGGGAAACUGCCCGAUGGAGGGGGAUAACUACUGGAAACGGUAGCUAAUACCGCAUAAUGUCGCAAGACCAAAGGGGGGGACCUUCGGGCCUCUUGCCAUCGGAUGUGCCCAGAUGGGAUUAGCUUGUUGGUGAGGUAAUGGCUCACCAAGGCGACGAUCCCUAGCUGGUCUGAGAGGAUGACCAGCCACACUGGAACUGAGACACGGUCCAGACUCCUACGGGAGGCAGCAGUGGGGAAUAUUGCACAAUGGGCGCAAGCCUGAUGCAGCCAUGCCGCGUGUGUGAAGAAGGCCUUCGGGUUGUAAAGCACUUUCAGCGGGGAGGAAGGCGAUACGGUUAAUAACCGUGUUGAUUGACGUUACCCGCAGAAGAAGCACCGGCUAACUCCGUG